Long non-coding RNA from Esox lucius (northern pike), 1562 nucleotides. The record is from Ensembl. Lineage: Eukaryota; Metazoa; Chordata; Actinopteri; Esociformes; Esocidae.
CCCCCGAACAGAACACAUGACACUGUUGAACUCUGUGGUACAUAUGAUGACUGAAUCUGGUAUAUGAGUCUGGUAACUGUAUAUGUAGUGGACAGAAUUCAGUCAUCAUAUGUACCACAGAGUUCAAUAACUUGACUUUUUUUUAGGCUGGACAAAACAAGGGAAUGAGGAUCUAGGGUUGUUGGCAUUUCCUUCUCUACUCUAGUCUCACUCUCCUUUUUCCCCUCUCCUCUCUUCAUCAUUCUCUCCUCUAUUCCCCAUCUAUCCUCCUCUUCUCUUCUCUUCCUCUUCUCUUCCUCUUUAUCUCCUCUCUCUUCCUCCUCUUCUAUCCUUAACUGAUCUUCACAACUUUCCUCUCUUUCCCUCUGUAUUCUCUUCAUUCUUGCCUUUCUCAUCUCGUUAGGUUCUCAUCAUUCUGUAAAAUUAUAGACCAGUUGCCAACAAAAGAUAGAGUCGAUAUAAAAAGUAUACACACCCCUGUUAAAAUGCCAUGUUUUGUGAUGUAAAAGAAUGAGACAAAGAUAAAUCAUGUCGGAUCUUUUCCCACUUUUAAUGUGACCAAUAAUGUGAAAAAUUCAAUUGAAAAACUAAUUGAAAUCUUCGAGGGGGAACAUUUUUAAAUAAAACCCUUACAAUAACCUGGUUGCAUAAGAGUGAUGCCAACACCCCGUUCCCAAAACUGGUAUCACACCUGAUGCCAACACCCCGUUCCCAAGACUGGGGUCACACCUGAUAUUCCAUUAUGAUUAAUCAUUAUCAUUACUAGAUCUGAGAGGUUUGGAGGAGUUAAUUGGGGUGGGGUAGGUGACUGGGAAGAUGUUUUAUAGGGGAUGUGUUGAGGAGGUGGGGUUGGGUGAGGUGACUGGGAAGGUGUUGUAUAGGGGAUGUGUUGAGGAGGUGGGGUUGGGUAGGUGACUGGGAAGGUGGGAUGUGUUGUAUAGGGGAUGUGUUGAGGAGGUGGGGUUGGGUAGGUGACUGGGAAGGUGGGAUGUGUUGUAUAGGGGAUGUGUUGAGGAGGUGGGGUUGGGUAGGUGACUGGGAAGGUGGGAUGUGUUGUAUAGGGGAUGUGUUGUAUAGGGGAUGUGUUGUAUAGGGGAUGUGUUGUAUAGGGGAUGUGUAAAGGCUUUAAAUAAAGACAAGCUGAACAAUACAAAGGACACCGCCUGGAGGUUAAAUUCACAGUUAAUGAUAAAAUAAAGCCAGAAUGUAUUUGGAUAUUAAAUAAUUCUCCGCCAUGAAAGAUGGUUCCAUAUUUGAGGAGAAGUGGGGUUACAGAGGAGGUGUCUAUUAUGUUGUAGAGGAGGUGUCUGUUGUGUUGUAGAGGAGGUGUCUGUUGUGUUAAAGAUUAUUUUAACAGGGUUGCAUGUUGUGUAACAAGGUUGCAAUGUGCGAAAGACCCUCCAGGCCAGGCUCCCCAAAAUAUCAGGUAUGUGUCAGAUGGCCAGAGCUGGCAUCCUAUCACUCUCCUGACAGGUUAAAAGGUUUGAAUUCCCAGGGUGAUGUGCACAGUAGUAUAGGACAGUGUCACUCAAACCUGCUCCUGGAGACACUCCACCCUGCAU